GACGAACGCUGGCGGCGUGCUUAACACAUGCAAGUCGAACGGUGAAGCGCCUUCCUUUUUGGUGGGUGUGGAUGAGUGGCGAACGGGUGAGUAACACGUGAGUAACCUGCCCCCUUCUUCUGGAUAACCGCAUGAAAGUGUGGCUAAUACGGGAUAUUCUGGGUCUGUCGCAUGAUGGGUCUGGGAAAGAUAUUGUUUCGGUGGGGGAUGGGCUCGCGGCCUAUCAGCUUGUUGGUGGGGUGAUGGCCUACCAAGGCGGUGACGGGUAGCCGGCCUGAGAGGGUCGACGGCCACACUGGGACGGAGACACGGCCCAGACUCCUACGGGAGGCAGCAGUGGAGAAUAUUGCACAGUGGGCGCAAGGCUGAUGCAGCGACGCCGCGGGAGGGAUGGAGGCCUUCGGGUUGUGAACCUCUUUCGCCAGUGAAGCAGGCCUGCCUCGUUUGUGGGUGGGUUGACGGUAGCUGGAUAAGAAGCGCCGGCUAACUACGUG
RNAcentral lists this ribosomal RNA (494 nucleotides) under uncultured bacterium. RNAcentral's name for it is "partial 16S ribosomal RNA". It matches the Rfam family "Bacterial small subunit ribosomal RNA", at positions 28 to 507 of the family's 1533-position model. The record is from RNAcentral.